Molecule: non-coding RNA, 43 nt
Filed under: unclassified sequences
Source: RNAcentral
UGGGGUCCGCGAACACCCCGUGAGGCUUUGGCCCAAGCGUCGC